CAGAUAGAGGCGCGGUAAAGAUCAGUACCCCGCGGGCGUUAAUGUGCGUUUCCCGGACGUGCAGCCUGCGGACGAAAGGCGAUACCGCCGAAGCCCGGCACUCGGGGUGCCGCCGCUGACCGCUUGCCGAAAAGGUCUGCGGUUGUCAUCAUGCUUUGUGGUGGAGUGCUAUCGG
RNAcentral lists this non-coding RNA (175 nucleotides) under uncultured Ruminococcus sp. Its description in RNAcentral is "Lysine riboswitch". It matches the Rfam family "Lysine riboswitch aptamer". From Rfam's summary of the family: Riboswitches are metabolite binding domains within certain messenger RNAs that serve as precision sensors for their corresponding targets. Allosteric rearrangement of mRNA structure is mediated by ligand binding, and this results in modulation of gene expression. This family includes riboswitches that sense lysine in a number of genes involved in lysine metabolism, including lysC. The record is from RNAcentral. Lineage: Bacteria; Bacillati; Bacillota; Clostridia; Eubacteriales; Oscillospiraceae.